GAGGGAGCCCUAGCACAGGUGCUGCAUGGCCGUCGUCAGCUCGUGCCGUGAGGUGUUGGGUUAAGUCCCGCAACGAGCGCAACCCCCGCCGUUAGUUGCCAGCGGUUCGGCCGGGCACUCUAACGGGACUGCCCGCGAAAGCGGGAGGAAGGAGGGGACGACGUCUGGUCAGCAUGGCCCUUACGGCCUGGGCGACACACGUGCUACAAUGCCCACUACAAAGCGAUGCCACCCGGCAACGGGGAGCUAAUCGCAAAAAGGUGGGCCCAGUUCGGAUUGGGGUCUGCAACCCGACCCCAUGAAGCCGGAAUCGCUAGUAAUCGCGGAUCAGCCAUGCCGCGGUGAAUACGUUCCCGGGCCUU
This 362-nucleotide ribosomal RNA is filed under the name uncultured Thermus sp. Its description in RNAcentral is "bacterial SSU rRNA". It matches the Rfam family "Bacterial small subunit ribosomal RNA", at positions 1020 to 1382 of the family's 1533-position model. Lineage: Bacteria; Thermotogati; Deinococcota; Deinococci; Thermales; Thermaceae. The record is from RNAcentral.